GCCCCGGUAGCUCAAUGGAUAGAGCAACAGCCUUCUAAGCUGUCGGUUAGAGGUUCGAGUCCUCUCCGGGGUA
RNAcentral lists this transfer RNA (73 nucleotides) under Anaerolineae bacterium. RNAcentral describes it as "tRNA-Arg". It matches the Rfam family "tRNA". From Rfam's summary of the family: Transfer RNA (tRNA) molecules are approximately 80 nucleotides in length. Their secondary structure includes four short double-helical elements and three loops (D, anti-codon, and T loops). Further hydrogen bonds mediate the characteristic L-shaped molecular structure. tRNAs have two regions of fundamental functional importance: the anti-codon, which is responsible for specific mRNA codon recognition, and the 3' end, to which the tRNAs corresponding amino acid is attached (by aminoacyl-tRNA synthetases). tRNAs cope with the degeneracy of the genetic code in two manners: having more than one tRNA (with a specific anti-codon) for a particular amino acid; and 'wobble' base-pairing, i.e. permitting non-standard base-pairing at the 3rd anti-codon position. The record is from RNAcentral. Lineage: Bacteria; Bacillati; Chloroflexota; Anaerolineae.